UAGCACAUGGAAGUUCCCAGGCUAGGGGUCUAAAUUGGAGCUGUUGCCACUGGCCUGCGCCAGAGCCACAGCAACACCAGAUCCGAGCUGCAUCUGAGAACUACACCACAGUUCACGCCAACACUGGAUCCUUAACCCACUGAGCAAGGCCGGGAAUUGAACCUGCAACCUCAUGGUUCCUAGUCUGAUUCAUUUCCAAUGCGCCAUGACGGGAACUCCCUUACUUUUUUAUAGAUGGGGAAACUGAGGCUCUAGAAGCCUGGGCAACUCACCUAAGGCCCACACUAUGAGUGAGUGGUCAGAAAGGGUUAUAACCCAGGACUGUUAUGAUCCUCCAAAUUUUGUUUUGUCAACCAUUCUUCUCUACUGCCUCCGUCUUUAUAACAUGUCCUUCACGUUGCUUGUUUGGUUUGAAUGUCUAUGUGUGUGAUUCCUUUUUCUCAAUAUGAUUUUAAUUAUACAGUUACCUGAAUAAAUACAAUUUGAAUUUGGCAUUAGCUGUAAUGUGGUUUUCCCAUUGGUGAGCAUAAUCACAGAACAUAAUUGACUGCCCAGCCUGUCUCCUUUAGGGACAGAGGGACAGCCCAGUGUGAACUUAUGCUUAACAUUUCUUUACAGGGUCAGCUCCUUGUAUUUGCUCACAUGUACACAAUGAAAUGGCAGAGUCUGAGGGAAUAUAUUGAUUAUCAAAGGAUUCUAGACCAACUUUCUCAUUUUCAGAAGAUAGAAUUGGAAGGCCCAUGAGUUUAAAUAACUUGCAAUAAUAACUCUCAAGAAGGUAAAAUUGUCCCUCACUAGAGGAAAGGCUGUAGAACUUUUAGAAACCUCUCAAUGCACAUAUGGAUUAUAUUUCAUUUUAUGAUAUUCCUAAAUCCAUGUGUUCAUAUAUUCAGUGACACCCUAUAGGCAGCCGCUACUGCCAUCUGUUGGUGAUGAACAGAGCUGGUGCAUAAAAUGGUUCCUUUCCAUGAAAGUUCUUAAGUUAAAACUUCAUUGCAGGAACUUCUGUAUUCAUUAAAAAAAAAAAAAAAAAAAAAGUAAGGCAUGUGGAAUCAGAUAUACCUGGGUUCAAAUCUUGGCUGUGUUUCAUGCAAGAACUGUAACCACUUUCAUCCAUGAUUUUCCAUUUGUAAAGUGGGGAUAAUAUACAGUUCAUAGGGAUGCUGUAAGAAUUAAGAAACAAAUGUGUAUUAAUUUGAGUAAAUGCUAGCCAAAAUCUCAGCAGCUCAACACAGUCUCCUGUUAACAUCGCAGUUACUUGCUCAUGUCAUGGUUCAAAGUGGGUGCUCCAGAUGUGUCACGACCAAGCUACUUCCAUCUUAUGACUCUGCCGUCUUCAACUCUGGCCUCCAAUAUCCACCAGCAAAGAAAGAGGAGAGGGCGUGGAGGUGAGCAAGUUUUCAUGGGCCGGGCCUGGAACUGCACAGAUUAUUUCCAUAUCCAUUCCGCUGGUCGGGGCUCCAUCCCAUGGUCGCAUCUCACAGCUGGGAAGACUGGGAAACAUGAUCCAAUAAUGCCUGCAUAAUUUUUAGUGAUGGAAACAUAAGCAUCAUUUUAUGCAGUUGUAAUUUUUCUUUGUGUAAUAUGUAACACUAUUUUUCUCAGUUUUUAGUAUAACACAGAUCUGAAACUAAAAAGCAGCUGCUAUGCUGAAAUAAGCAGUGCUCUUGAAGAUAUGGCUUUGAAUCCUUUGUGAUCUUGGAUAUAUCACUCAGCCAAUCUGAACCCUAGUCCUUAUCUAGAGAAGAAUGGGGGUAAAGCCAGCUAGUAUCUGUGUAGUCUGUCCUCAUUCCCAUCUCUCCAGUUCUAAAGGUUUACAGCUUUGUACACAAAGAUAAUGUGAAGCAAAACAAAACAAAACAUGCAGUGACUCUCAAGUAGACAGUGGUAGAACUCAAGUCUUGGAUGCGCUUAGAUGGGAAGAUUUCUCAAAGAGAAAUCACUCUAAGCCCAUUCUUGGAGGAUGUAGUGGUCCUGAAUAGAAGGAAUGAGAUAAAGGAUGCUAUGCAAGGAAGACAUGAAGAGGACCACAAAUAGAAACUAGGGGACAGAGCAUGGUGAGGAGGAGCACCUGCUGAAAAGGGGGAAUGUGCCAGAGUGGGACUGGGGUGCAUUGAAGAUGUAGUUUUGUUUCGUUUCACUUUUUAUUAGAGUAUAGUUGACUUAUAAUGUGUUAGUUUCAGGUGUACAGCAAAGUGUAUCAGUUGUACCUAUACAUAUAGCCAUUUCUCUUCAGAUUCUUUUCCCAUAUAGGUCACUACAGAGUAUUGAAUGGGUUUCCCUGUGCUAUGCAGUAGGUCACUGUUACUCAUCCAUUCCAUAUAUAGUAGUGUGUAUGUGUCAAUUCCACCUCCCAAUUUAUCCCUCCUCCCAGCAUUUCCCCUUUGGUAACAAUAAGUUUGGUUUUAAAGUCUUUGAGACUCUUUCUGUUUUGUGAAUAAAUUAUUUUGUAUAAUUUUUAUUAGACAUCCCAUAUUAGUCGUCUCAUAUAUUUGUCUUUCUCUGACUUACUUGAAGGUGUGAAGGUGUAGUCUGGUAGGAGAGGGAAAGAAAACAUUAAUGAUGGGCUGCCAGAUGCAGUGGUCGUAUUGAAUCCUAAAGGAUCCCAAUAGGAAGCCAGUUAUGGUUUUUGUACAGGUAAGUGACAUCACAAAAACCUGCUAGUCUAAUCUGCAAUCUGAUCAGACCAUAGCUUGGCUGUGACAUAGCACUUGAUGUGACAGUACCACUUACCAAAUUGCUGAACUUCUAAUGUCUAAAUGCUCCAUAAAUAGUCUCUCAAAUAUGUUAGUUAUCUGAAUUAUAUUCUCAUUUCAUGGAAAAAGAAGGAGUUUCACCUGGUAAUGAAGAAAAGAUGAGGAUGUGGGAAAAAUCAAGUAGUUUACAUUGAAAAAAAGCCCUCAUUUCUCUGCUUUAUUUUUAUUUUAUUUUUAAUCAAGGCUAAAUAUGUAGGUAAGACAUGAGUCAGAACAGACUCAGAAAGUACCUAGAAGCCUGCAGCAUUUGAAGCAUGCUAGCUAGUUUCAUGUGGGUGAAGUUUGGUUUUCAGGAAGACGAAUUGAAAACAGAACUUGUUUGUUUAGAAUUGCCACUCUUCAGGGGACAGACAGUCAAGGAUGUUCUAUGAACCAAGAGGGAAAAGGAUUUCUUCUUGGGAACUGCUGCAGAGCCUUGUCUGGAGAGAGUCUGGCCCCAGGGCAUCCCCUGAACACAUUUCGGCCUUUCUUUGGUCCAGGUUUGGGAAGAUGUGACCUUGGCGAAGUUUGAGUGGAAAUUCAGUUCAGCCCUCCAACCAGGUCUCCAAUAAAGGCCUCUGUCACCCUCUCAAGAAAGACUAGAAGAUAGAAACAUUCCAUGGGAAAGCUCUUGAUGAUGUUCUUGACUCUCCUUCAGAUCUUAUAAGCUCUUGGGAAGCACUAUUUGUAGUUUUUGCUUUUAAGAAAAAGGUUAAAUUUCAGAUGGGUAACUCUUUGUUAUUUACUACCUAUGAAUUUUUUUACACAAGUGAAAUAGUACACUAUUAAGUAACCACAUGACCUUGGCAAGUCACAAGGUUUUUCUGGGCUUUGGGCUUUGGUUUUCUUUGUAAAACACAGAGACUAGGUUAUAUAAUCUCCGAAGACUCUUCCUGAUCUGAAAUGAUAAAUUCUAAUUCAAACAACUUCCUUUUUCUGGUGAAGUAACAUGAAGCCUGAGGUUACUUUAUCACAUUGUUCUAAAUCUCUGUCACUCUUGAAAUGUACAGGAAAAAGACUGGCAGCCCAUUGAGUGUGUAAGGUGGAAAGGCUCCUCGGUUCAGCGCAGCACCACGUUGAUGGGAGAUUGAGCUCAGAGCUGCUUGCCUCCCACCCCCACAACAGGGGGGUGUUCACACCUUCACGCUUCUUAGAAACACCAGUGUUUUUAUUGUGGCUGUGCAAUAGAUUGUCUGACGGAGUGCACUUUCCAGUUCGACAGUACUUUAUAUACUUUCUACUCUUAUUCUUUAUCCCCUUUCAUAUUUUAAAAUGAGUUCUACUUCUUUCACAAGAGGUAAUUUCUUCUACAGCAAGACCAUAUCCUAAAUAGAACAAUUUUAUAUACAGUGGUCAGAACAGAGGAUGUAAUGAUAACGUGAUAGUCAAUGAUGAGAGCUAGAAAAAUAUCAUAGGAUUUUAGUGCUGGUCUAAUCUGGGCUAAUUUAACUACAUAAAAUUAACUAGAAUUAAAUUAAAUUUUUAGUCUCUCUGUCAUGCUAGACACAUUUCAAGUGCUCAAUACUAGCUCAAUUUCAAGUGCACAUGUGGCGAGAACUACUGUUUUAGGUUCCUUUUGUUUGUUCGUUUGUUUCUUUCUUUCUUUUGGCCACAUGCAUGGCAUGUGCACGGCCCCUGGGCAAGGAUCCAAGGGGAGCCACAGCAGCAGUCCAAGCCACUGUGCCACCACACCAGAUCUUUAACCUGCUAUGCCACAAGAGAACUCUAAAUUCCUUUUUUAUUAUUAUUGAAAUAUAAUUUAUUUACAAUGUUGUGUUAAUUUCUGCUGUAAAGCAAGUAAUUCAGUUACACAUGUAUAUACACUUUUAAAUAUUCUUUCCCAUUAUGGCUUAUAUGAAGGACAUAUAUAGAAAUAUGGAAUAGGAAUAUAGUUCCCUAUAAGACCUUGUAGUUUAUCUCCUCCACCUAUAAUAGUUUACUUCUGCUAAGCCCAGCCUCCCAGUCCAUCCCUCUCCCAACCUCCUACCCUUGGCAACCACAAGUCUGUUCUCCAGAUCAAUUAGUCAUAGAAUCAUGUUCUUAAGAGAUGCCAGGGAACUUGAAAAUCACAUAGUACAUUCUUCUAUCCAGGACAGUUCAAAUCUUUCCAGUACCAAAGAAUUUGUCAUCUUACAGAGUGGUCCAUUCCAUUUUGGGAAAACUUUAUACUAGAAAGUUCUUCCUUAAAUUUGGUCAAAAUCUAUAUCCCUGUAACUUCUGCUCUCUUUCUAUAUACACAAAAUAAGUGUAAUAAUUCUUCUGCUUGGAACUUCACCAGAACAUCAGUGCCAUUAUUGUUUCUGCCUGAACUCUUCUUUUCCAGUUAACCCAUGCCACUGGGGAGGAGGCUGAGGCUUGGUGCAGUUCUGCCUCACACCUUGUAACUCCACAACACAGCUGGGACUGAAUCCAGGUUUCCAUUUGGUAUGUUCCAGUGAAAUCUUACUGCUUCCAAGUCUAGCAGCUAUACCAUUAAAAAUGUGUGUAUAUGAGUUUAUAGAGUUGAAAUUCUUGUUCUUUUAUCUUUCUUUCCAUUUUCUUGGUGUCAUUCUCCCAUUGCUUUAUUCUCAUUUUUCACUGCAUGGUUCCGAAGAGACUCUAGGUUAUUUCUCCUCCUGUGGAACAAAGAUUACUGGAACUCUGCAUGAAUAUUUCAGAACAUAAAACAGUUGCUUCCCUGCCCCUAAUAACCCCAGCUACCUGGCAAAGAAAUCACAUUGAAGGCUUGCUUCCAUCUGCCAGUUUGAAAGCAGUAUGAGGACAUAAGAGGGAGCUUGAAGGACUCAAGGUAAAUGAUCUACUUCCAUAUGGUGUCUAGAGGAGAGGAUGUGCUUGAUAACUUCAGUAAGAAAGGUCAUCUACAUCUGCACAGGGCUUCUGUGGAGACUUUGCAGGUGAGAUAAGGGUUAGUGCCAUUUGUAGCUUCAGAUCUGUUUGACAAAUGCUUUCAAAGUGUGGUGUUUUUGCUGGGGCAACAAAGAUGAUUAACACAGGGUCUUUACCCUCCAGUCACUGGCAGGGGGCCAGGUGGAGUCAAUGAACACUCAAGGACCACUCUAGGCAACCCCACUGAGCCCUUGGAUGUGUUAUUGCAAAGAAACCAGCAGGACCUUAAAUGGUUACAAGCAGUUGUCACAGCAAAACAACUUCUGAGAAUCAUUAGGUAAAGGAAUCUUAUAGACCAAGCUUUCUAGGGAAGAAGACUCUGACCAAACCAGCCAGGGCCCAGGAGGAGAUCUGGCACUGCAUAAACAGCUAUCUUCCCUACCAACAAAAACUGCUACCUGAUUCAUUUCAUUAAAUUCUGCAUACCAUCAAAAAUAAUAAUAAUGUCACCAGACUCCACCACUAGCCAUGCCCUUUAACAUCCAGUUCUAGGUCCAUGGUUGACUCUAUAUAUGUAUGUAUACAUUCUUAUUAUUAUUCCUACAUAUAUGUAUUAUUUGUGUAUGUGUACACACACAUAUGCAAAUAAUACACAUAGGUAGGAUCUUAUAUAGAUGUUUUUAAUGUAUAUGUAUACAUAUAUAGGCAUAAUUUUAUGUUAUGUUUUAUAUUUUCAUGGUCUUACAAAUGUGUGUAUGUGCACAAAUGUAUAUUUAUAUAAUACAUCUUUCUAGUUGUGACACAAAUAUAUACUUCUGUGUAACACAUACUAUGUAUGUGUAUGAUACAUACACACUAAGGACAUUUCUAAAGGGAUACCCAAGAAAUUUUUCGUGGUGGUUUCCUUGGGAAAGUAGGAAUGGGGACCUUGGGGCUGGAAUAGAGAAGUACACAUUUAUAUUUCAUUUUAUAGCCUUUCCAUGUUUUAAUUUUUUACUGUCUCUUUAUUACUCUUAGAACAACAAAAACAUUUUUCUUAAUACUGGGUUAUACUAAAGACAACAUCAUCUAUCUUUGCUUUGUUUUCCAACAUGAGCUCCAAAAUGCGAUAGAGGUAAAAAGCCUUAUUCCAAGCUGGGCUCCUCCAGGCAUCUUACCUUAGAUGAUUGCAGUGGCUGUUUUUUUUUCCAAUCUGCUAGCCUGAGAUAGCUUGGCCCAAGUUAAGGUCAAAUGAGAUGAUAUAUGUACUUAUGUGAAAGUGCUCUGCAAACUGUGUAUUUCUACAUGCAGGUCCAAAUAUUGGAUCCUCAAAGAAUACUCCGAACUACCCAGCUUGACUAAAAUCACCUAGGUCCUGGUCCUCUUCACUAGCCUAUUUUUGAAAAGGGAUGUGCACAGCAUGGGGUGGGGCUGGGGGUGGGGGCUGUGAUAUAAUGUGAUGUAAUGACAGGGAAAGUAGUGGGAGCAUGAAGAAAAGAAAGAAGAGGGACAGUAGUACAGGCACCUUAGGCAGAGGGUGGGAGAAAAAGCCUCUAGGAGCCCUGAUGUAAUUCUGACCUCUUUGUGGA
This 7129-nucleotide long non-coding RNA is filed under the name Sus scrofa (pig). RNAcentral describes it as "lncRNA (ENSSSCG00000058285.1)". Lineage: Eukaryota; Metazoa; Chordata; Mammalia; Artiodactyla; Suidae. The record is from RNAcentral.